RNAcentral lists this ribosomal RNA (2921 nucleotides) under Lactiplantibacillus plantarum. Its description in RNAcentral is "23S ribosomal RNA". It matches the Rfam family "Bacterial large subunit ribosomal RNA". The record is from RNAcentral. Lineage: Bacteria; Bacillati; Bacillota; Bacilli; Lactobacillales; Lactobacillaceae.
GGUUAAGUUAACAAGGGCGCAUGGUGAAUGCCUUGGCACUAGGAGCCGAUGAAGGACGGGACUAACACCGAUAUGCUUCGGGGAGCUGUACGUAAGCUAUGAUCCGGAGAUUUCCGAAUGGGGCAACCCAGCAGUUUUAAUCAACUGUUACCACUAGAUGAAUUCAUAGUCUAGUUGGAGGUAAACGCUGUGAACUGAAACAUCUCAUUAGCAGCAGGAAUAUAAAGAAAUUUCGAUUCCCUAAGUAGCGGCGAGCGAACGGGGAACAGCCCAAACCAAAGUGCUUGCACUUUGGGGUUGUAGGACUGAACAUUUGAGUUACCAAAGAACUUGAUAGUCGAAGGAUUUGGGAAAAUCCGCCAUAGAUGGUGAUAGCCCAGUAGAUUAAAUCAAAUUCUCUCAGUUCAGGAUCCUGAGUACGGCGGAACACGUGAAAUUCCGUCGGAAUCCGGGAGGACCAUCUCCCAAGGCUAAAUACUACCUAGUGACCGAUAGUGAACCAGUACCGUGAGGGAAAGGUGAAAAGCACCCCGGGAGGGGAGUGAAAUAGUUCCUGAAACCAUGUGCCUACAAUAAGUCAGAGCGCGUUAAUGCGUGAUGGCGUGCCUUUUGUAGAAUGAACCGGCGAGUUAUGAUCCCGUGCAAGGUUAAGACUAAAAAGUCGGAGCCGUAGCGAAAGCGAGUCUGAAAUGGGCGUUUUGAGUACGAGGUUAUAGACCCGAAACCAGGUGACCUAUCCAUGUCCAGGUUGAAGGUGCGGUAAAACGCACUGGAGGACCGAACCCGUGUAAGUUGAAAAUUGCUGGGAUGAGGUGUGGAUAGCGGUGAAAUUCCAAACGAACUUGGAGAUAGCUGGUUCUCUCCGAAAUAGCUUUAGGGCUAGCCUCGGAAUUAGGAUCAUGGAGGUAGAGCACUAUUUGGACUAGGGGCCCGUCUUGGGUUACUGAAUUCAGAUAAACUCCGAAUGCCAUUGAUUCAUAUCCGGGAGUCAGACGAUGAGUGAUAAGAUCCACCGUCGAAAGGGGAACAGCCCAGACCAUCAGUUAAGGUCCCUAAAUGUAUGCUAAGUGGAAAAGGAUGUGGAGUUGCAUAGACAACUAGGAUGUUGGCUCAGAAGCAGCCACCAUUUAAAGAGUGCGUAAUAGCUCACUAGUCGAGUGAUCCUGCGCCGAAAAUGUACCGGGGCUAAGCAUACUACCGAAACCAUGGAUGCGACCAUUAGGUCGCGUGAUAGGAGAGCGUUCUAAGGGCGGUGAAGCAAGAUCGUGAGGACUUGUGGAGCGCUUAGAAGUGAGAAUGCCGGUAUGAGUAGCGAAAGAUAGGUGAGAAUCCUAUCCACCGAAUGACUAAGGUUUCCUGGGGAAGGCUCGUCCUCCCAGGGUUAGUCGGGACCUAAGUCGAGGCCGAGAGGCGUAGACGAUGGAUAACAGGUUGAGAUUCCUGUACUAGUUAAGUGCGUUUGAGCAAUGGAGGGACGCAGGAGGCUAAGAUGUGCAUUCUGUUGGAUUAGAAUGUCCAAGCAGUAAGUCUUGUGAAGAGUCAAAUGCUUUUCACUUUAAGGACAAGCUGUGAUGGGGAGCGAAAUUUAGUAGCGAAGCGUCUGAUGUCACACUGCCGAGAAAAGCUUCUAGUGAGUACUUAACUACCCGUACCGCAAACCGACACAGGUAGUCGAGGAGAGAAUCCUAAGGUGAGCGAGUGAACUCUCGUUAAGGAACUCGGCAAAAUGACCCCGUAACUUCGGGAGAAGGGGUGCUGAUCGCAAGAUCAGCCGCAGUGAAUAGGCCCAGGCGACUGUUUAUCAAAAACACAGGUCUCUGCAAAAUCGUAAGAUGACGUAUAGGGGCUGACGCCUGCCCGGUGCUGGAAGGUUAAAAGGAUGGGUUAGCUUCGGCGAAGCUCAGAAUUGAAGCCCCAGUAAACGGCGGCCGUAACUAUAACGGUCCUAAGGUAGCGAAAUUCCUUGUCGGGUAAGUUCCGACCCGCACGAAAGGCGUAACGAUCUGGGCACUGUCUCAACGAGAGACUCGGUGAAAUUAUAUUGUCCGUGAAGAUGCGGACUACCCGCGACAGGACGGAAAGACCCCAUGGAGCUUUACUGUAGCUUGAUAUUGAGUGUUUGUACAGCUUGUACAGGAUAGGUAGGAGCCAUAGAAACCGGAACGCUAGUUUCGGUGGAGGCAUUGGUGGGAUACUACCCUCGCUGUAUGACCACUCUAACCCGCACCACUAAUCGUGGUGGGAGACAGUGUCAGGUGGGCAGUUUGACUGGGGCGGUCGCCUCCUAAAAAGUAACGGAGGCGCCCAAAGGUUCCCUCAGAAUGGUUGGAAAUCAUUCGCAGAGUGUAAAGGCACAAGGGAGCUUGACUGCGAGACAGACAGGUCGAGCAGGGACGAAAGUCGGGCUUAGUGAUCCGGUGGUACCGUAUGGAAGGGCCAUCGCUCAACGGAUAAAAGCUACCCUGGGGAUAACAGGCUUAUCUCCCCCAAGAGUCCACAUCGACGGGGAGGUUUGGCACCUCGAUGUCGGCUCAUCGCAUCCUGGGGCUGUAGUCGGUCCCAAGGGUUGGGCUGUUCGCCCAUUAAAGCGGUACGCGAGCUGGGUUCAGAACGUCGUGAGACAGUUCGGUCCCUAUCCGUCGCGGGCGUAGGAAAUUUGAGAGGACCUGUCCUUAGUACGAGAGGACCGGGAUGGACAUACCUCUGGUGUACCAGUUGUGCCGCCAGGCGCAUCGCUGGGUAGCUACGUAUGGAUGUGAUAAACGCUGAAAGCAUCUAAGUGUGAAACACACCUCGAGAUGAGAUUUCCCAUUCCUUUAUGGAAGUAAGACCCCUGAAAGAUGAUCAGGUAGAUAGGUUAGAAGUGGCAGUGCGGUGACGCAUGAAGCGGACUAAUACUAAUCGGUCGAGGACUUAACCAA